CCUACGGGUGGCAGCAGUGGGGAAUAUUGCACAAUGGGGGAAACCCUGAUGCAGCGACGCCGCGUGAGCGAAGACGUACUUCGGUAUGUAAAGCUCUAUCAGUAGGGAAGAAAAUGACGGUACCUGAGUAAGAAGCUCCGGCCAAAUACGUGCCAGCAGCCGCGGCUAUACGUAUGGAGCAAGCGUUAUCCGGAUUUACGGGGCGUAAGGGGAGCGUAGGCGGGUGGUCAAGUCUGAUGUGAAAUACCGGGGCUCAAUCCCGGGGCUGCAUUGGAAACUGGCAGGCUGGAGUGCCGGAGAGGCAGGCGGAAUUCGUGGUGUAGCGGUGAAAUGCGGAGAUAUUAGGAAGAACACCAGUGGCGAAGGCGGCCUGCUGGACGGUGACUGACGCUGAGGCUCGAAAGCGUGGGGAGCAAACAGGAUUAGAUACCCCAGUAGUC
This 440-nucleotide ribosomal RNA is filed under the name uncultured bacterium. RNAcentral describes it as "partial 16S ribosomal RNA". It matches the Rfam family "Bacterial small subunit ribosomal RNA", at positions 338 to 795 of the family's 1533-position model. The record is from RNAcentral.